ACAAUUUAUAUAGAUUUAGGAUUUUGGCAGUCAGUCACGUACUCCCUCUCGUUGUUCCCUUGUGGGUUGGCAUCGGCGGCGGCGGCUCCUUCUGUGGCCAUGACGUCGCUGCGGUCCGCCGUGGCCACCUGUCUCCCGCCGAUCCGCGCGGCGAUCUCCCGGAUGAAGCAGGAUAUGGUGCGGCGGGAGCCGCCUCUACGGGCCCGACAACUUCCAGGCCCUGGAGACCAUGCCCACGCGGAUGGAGUCGUACGCCUACCUCCUUGGCUGCCUGCAGACGCCCGCCGUGUCCCCUCUCAGCAUCUUGCAGGCUUCCGAGGGGGAUGCCGAUCAGGCUGCAGAAGGAGCCGCUGCCACCUCCGAGAAAUAGAAGCUCGACGGUUGUCGUUAUGGUCCAGUUGUUCUUUAUUUAGGUCACCAGUAUAGUUUCUUUAAUUGGCCUAAUAAUUAUAGAAGUUAAUGGUCUGAUGUACCACGUGUGCCCUGUUUCAUGAACUCACUCAUGGAUCUACUAGAAACCUUGGUCAUGAAGUGGAAAAGUGGUAUUUCCACUUUUCCACUUCAUAUGAAUGUGACCACAAGUGAUGGUAAAUUUACAUUUCCGAAGUUUUGGCUAAUGUGCAAGAGUAGAAAGGAUCCAAAUGCAGAAUUCUCCUGCAACCUCUCUGAUGCAGCUUAGGGGAAGGAUGGUUAAAACCUGUUUUGUUCAGAAGUUGCAUCAGGGUUAAGCUCAUCAAUUAAUAAGGCAAAAAAAAGAGUUCAUCAAUGGAUAUACUGAUGAAACUUUGAGGUCAAGUUGAAUGUGGUUCCACUUUUUUGUUCUUUAUUUGUGAAAUAUGUUCAGCUGGGUGAUGAUUAUGCCGAAAAAUCUGACUAUGGCAAUACUUCAACAUCACUCGAAUUGAUGUAAUUAUGCAUGGUAUUCAGAAUGUGUUCAUCUACUUAUUA
Musa acuminata AAA Group (dessert banana) is the source of this 948-nucleotide long non-coding RNA. RefSeq lists it as uncharacterized. The record is from RefSeq and is a predicted model, not a curated record. The transcript is spliced from 2 exons. NCBI's taxonomy places the organism in Eukaryota, Viridiplantae, Streptophyta, Magnoliopsida, Zingiberales, Musaceae.